GUCAGAGUGAUACGAAGAGAACUCAGUCUACCACUGCUGGCUUUGAAGAUGGAAGAAUGGGGCUAUGAGCCCUGGAUUGCGGGCAGCCUGCAGAAGCUGGGGCAGAGAUUCCACACAGGCACCUCUAGAAAAUAAUGCAGCCAGCCAAUCCUUAGACUUUAUCCCAGUGAGAGUCAAGUUGGACUUCUGACCUACAAAAGAGAAACAGCUUUUCCUGCUUUGGCAUCAAAACCAUAUCAACAAAAGCCCAAACC
This 254-nucleotide long non-coding RNA is filed under the name Homo sapiens (human). RNAcentral describes it as "non-protein coding lnc-EXT1-4:3". Lineage: Eukaryota; Metazoa; Chordata; Mammalia; Primates; Hominidae. The record is from RNAcentral.